UUGCUUCAACUAUGACGCAGCUCCUUAGACAUUCUUAUAAAUGGGGUGCGGAUUCCAUCCCCCGCAAAGAGUGUGCGUAUGCGCCGUUUCAGCUGAUCGCAACCUCCACCGCGCUUCUAGAAAUUAUCGAUUUCCGCAAGCUUGAAGUUCCUUGGUGGAAAAUGACGCCAUGAACAACUAUCCAAUGGGCGGCAUCGACUUUGAUCUUCCUCCAUUGGUCGGCGAGCCGGUAUAAACGGUGCUUACUCGCAACUCCUUUCAGUUGUGUUGUUACCCACUCACUGAACACUUGGAGAAUAGUAUGUAUAAAGAAGUUCACCAUCAGGAAAUUAAACACGAGUGCUCGCGAUCGGGAGGACUCCACGCAUAUCCCGAUCACUUCAGGGAAACGUACCUUUAAGGCCACCAACUAGAUACAUGAACAUCUGAAGGUUCCUGUCCUCUGGUAGGACUUUGUAUAUAGUGUACAUAGGAUCGCUUGCUCUGAUAAAAACAAGGGGGGAUUCCGCUGGGAGAGGACGAGCGAGCUCGAGGGAUCUCUACUACGCGGGGAGAAAUUAGACGGAAAUUAUCCAAGAGUCCUGCACUAUCCUCCACGAGAUAUCCACUCGCGCACUUUAACAGCACGCAUCAGCAGUAAUAAGAGGAAGAUA
This is a long non-coding RNA of Pogonomyrmex barbatus (red harvester ant), 653 nucleotides long. Lineage: Eukaryota; Metazoa; Arthropoda; Insecta; Hymenoptera; Formicidae. The record is from RefSeq and is a predicted model, not a curated record.